This is a long non-coding RNA of Diabrotica virgifera virgifera (western corn rootworm), 1268 nucleotides long. RefSeq lists it as uncharacterized. The record is from RefSeq and is a predicted model, not a curated record. The transcript is spliced from 3 exons. Lineage: Eukaryota; Metazoa; Arthropoda; Insecta; Coleoptera; Chrysomelidae.
UCGGUUCGGCCAUCUUGACAUGCAUCUUGCCUUGGCCACCUUGCCGUGCGUGAUCGUUGUUUGUUUUUAUUUGUGCUUUUUAAGAAUAUUUUUUAAUUCGGAUACUUUUAUAAUAACUUUAAUAGUAUUAUUAAUAUAGUGCAUAAAAUCAGUUGGAGUAGCAGAAGCAAUGUAGAUAAAAAAUCUGCAGGAAUAAUGUUUCAAAGGUUAGUAUAUUAUGCAAAUAUGUAAACAAAGGCAUGCCCCUAUUUCAGAAAAUAUCCAUUUAUUAUUUUAAUAAUUGCGAAUAAGCCACAAACUUGCUUAUUCCUAAUUAAAAUAGUAAAUAGAGAUAAUAACAAACGGAUUAUUUGUAAAAUUAAAUUUUUUUUUGCGUUUUUGCUAAUGUAUGCGUUUAUAAACAGGAUGGUAGACCACACACUAUAAUAGUACCAACUAAUGAAUACACAGUAUGAAUAGUACAGUCGGUUCGCUAAACUUAGUCUCAGACACAACUGGCUAGUGAUUUUAGUAAAUAAUUUUGACAAUUUGGUAAAAUUGGCAAAAAAAUAACUAAAUAGUUAGUAAUUUUGGCAAAAAUGGCCAAAAACAAAAAAAUUACCUACUAAAAUCACUAGCCAGUUGUGGCUAGGGAAACGACUAUACUAAUAAACAAUUUCUAAGCUGCUUUUUAUAAUAUUUUCUUUCCAGAAGAUCCUGCGAAGAAGGCAUGAAGUAUUGAUCAGAUUUGUUAAUAGAGCAGUAUGUUCAAAACAUUUUUUAGAAAAAGAUAUUGACAGAACUUCACUUUCAACCGUUUGAGAGACUGUGCUGUUCCAAUAGCUUAUAUCACACAGAAUCAGCUGAGAGAAGUGGUCUACAAAAAACCAGGAAGGAAAUGGAAUAUGUGGCUAUGAAAGGCAAAAGAAAGGUUUACAAAGCAAAUGUGACACAUUUUUUUAUAGGAAUAUCAGUAAAUUACAUUAAAAAAAUGUAUGAAAAGAUUUUUUGCAAUAAAAAUGUUUAUAUUUAUCAAGCAUGCAUUAUUUGGUAUGGCCACAUAUCGUCAGUGAUGUGACAAUACCUCCUAUCUGUUUUUUCAUGAGAUUUGUAAGAUAGACUAAAAACUUGUUUGGGCCACCUCCUGUUUUCAUAUAUUUUUUGACUUGUUUUGCAGUAAAUUUAACUAUCUAUUUACUACAAAACAAGCCAGAACUUACGUAUGCAAACAGGAGGUGACCUUAAAAAAUGUUUUUCGUCUCCUGCAAACCUCAUGAAAAAAGAUAUAG